AAGGGGUGAAAUCAGGAAUAAGUGAAUGGUCCCAAAAGAGGGUUGAAAAGGAGUGGCGUGGUGGUUGCCUUCGCCUGGACCAUUUUGUAUUUUAUUUUAUUUAUUUAUUUAUUUUUGUUCAUAAUUCACUCACAAUGAACCUCUUUGCUCUUUUUUUUUUUAACUUCUCACUUUUGACCGUUUGCUGCUCACUUUCAAUAAAGUCUUUUUUGACUCGCUUCUCCCCAUACCAGAAAAAAGGUCACUUCCACAUGCUACAAAAUUG
Molecule: long non-coding RNA, 265 nt
Filed under: Linum usitatissimum (flax)
Lineage: Eukaryota; Viridiplantae; Streptophyta; Magnoliopsida; Malpighiales; Linaceae
Description: long non-coding RNA (LUSI_LNC005439)
Source: RNAcentral